UACAGAGGUGGCAAGCGUUGUUCGGAAUUACUGGGCGUAAAGGGCGCGUAGGCGGUUGCCUAAGUCGGACGUGAAAUCCCCAAGCUUAACUUGGGAACUGCAUCUGAUACUGGGUGACUUGAGUUCGGGAGAGGAAUGUGGAAUUCCAGGUGUAGCGGUGAAAUGCGUAGAUAUCUGGAGGAAUACCGGUGGCGAAGGCGGCAUCCUGGACCGGCAUUGACGCUGAGGAGCGAAAGCCAGGGGAGCAAACGGG
RNAcentral lists this ribosomal RNA (253 nucleotides) under uncultured bacterium. RNAcentral's name for it is "partial 16S ribosomal RNA". It matches the Rfam family "Bacterial small subunit ribosomal RNA", at positions 524 to 776 of the family's 1533-position model. The record is from RNAcentral.